Exaiptasia diaphana is the source of this 303-nucleotide long non-coding RNA. RefSeq lists it as uncharacterized. The transcript is spliced from 3 exons. NCBI's taxonomy places the organism in Eukaryota, Metazoa, Cnidaria, Anthozoa, Actiniaria, Aiptasiidae. The record is from RefSeq and is a predicted model, not a curated record.
ACAGGAUACAUUUUGAUGGUUUUAACUCGGGCUAUAGAUUAUAGUUACUCUGUUCUAAAMAAAUAUUUCCCACAAACUGAAAAACUAUUUGUUAAGACAUAUAAAUAGAUGUAGAGCAUCUAUGUGGAAUAUUUAUUGCAGUGGAAUAAUUAUUACUGGCAAAUUCAUGCAUAACAAUGGGAUCUUCUCCAGCUCUUAUAUUGACAUUGUUAAUCGUCCUCUUUCAAAUACAUCAUUCCGAAGGAUCAUGCGGUAGUUGUACUUUCCCGGRAACCUGCAGCAAACUAAAGUGUUGYMAARCAA